RNAcentral lists this long non-coding RNA (3969 nucleotides) under Marmota monax (woodchuck). The record is from RNAcentral. Lineage: Eukaryota; Metazoa; Chordata; Mammalia; Rodentia; Sciuridae.
AUUUGAAUGAAUUACUGGGUAGUUAACUGUAGGCAGGUGAGGUGUGGCCAGAGGAAAUAGAUCAUUGAGUGCAUGAUGAUGGUCUAUUAAAUAUUGUUCCUGGCUUCCCUCUCUCUUUCUUUCUCUCUUUCUUUUCUGACUGCCAUAACCUUACAGCUUUCUGUCUCCACACUCUUUGGCCACGGUUUUCUGCCUCACCUCAGACCAGAACAAUGGGUCAGCUGAUUACACACUGAGGCCUCUGAAACCCUGAACCAAACUAAACUUUUCCUUCUCUGUGUUGUUCUUCUCAAAUAUUUUAGUCACAGCGAUGAAAGGUUGAGUUAGACACUGAACUACUUAGUUGGGUAAACUAUUCAAUUUAUAAGAUGCCUAUGAAUAUAACUAUAUAAUUUAAGACUGCCCAAAGAAAUACUCUGUCCUAAAGAUAUUAUCACAGGUCAAUGUCACCAAUUCUCAAGACAAAGAAGAAGAAUUUUUCCAGAAAAGAAUUGGCAGGUAAAAUACUACUAGUGGUUUUGUCUAAAAACAAUCACCUUUUGAAAAGCAUUUUCAGACUUUUUGUUUUCAUAACAUAGGCCCUGCAGAAUUUAAUGGAAUCUUAGGCCAAGGCACAAACUCUUCUAAAUAGACACCUUCAAUUUUUACAUGAAGUUAAAAAGAAAUGUUUACAACAGAAUUUUUAGUAGGAAAAGAAAUGCUAAAAGCUAUGAUGUUCACCAAUAUGUAAACCUUAUAGGGGCAUGGGGUUAUGGGCUGCUGUUUUAAUUGCUCUGUCUCUAGUAUCAGCAACAGUGAGAGUUUUGAAACUAUCAAACAAAUUUAUCUAUAAAUCUAUAAAAUAAUAAAGAUUAAUAAAUUCUAAUAGUACAGUGUUGAUUUUAUCUUCUCCCUUUUUGCUAACCUGUCCUUUUCCUGUAACAACUGAAGGAAGAUGUAAUAUAGGUCAGAAGACAGGGAAAGCAAAAGAAAUCUGAGAGAGACAGCUGAUACCCCAAAUCUUUUCUCCUUUCUACUCAGUAAAAUUCCACCAUUAUACUACAUUGGAUAUGUAUCUUGAAAGGAUAGAUAAGAGAGUUCCUCAAAUUAGCAUGGAUCAGAUUUAUAAAUGUUAGAUCAAAAGUUUAAGAUUAUGAUUGAGAGAGAAAAUUUGAAAUCCANCUACUUUUGAAGGAAAAUAGUCUAUCUUAAUUUAAUAAGUUUUGAUAAGAUGAAUGAAGUUUGAUAAACCACCAAGGGCAGAAUUAUUCAAAUCCCAAAGACCUGCCUACAUACAGUAAGAGCCUUUACUAAACUUAGCUGGCUUCCAAAGAGAUGGCCCAAUGACUAUCUUCCCCAGAAACUUAUGGGGAAAGUAUAUAUUAGUUUAUAUUGCUGAUGUUGCAUCUGCUAAAAUGUCUUUUUCCUCCUUGAAUAAAAGAGGAAGGAUUCUGUUUCCGUUGGUGACUCACGGCCAUUUAGAAAAUCACCAUCCACUUCUGCUUUUUAGUUGUUCCUCAAAAUGUUGAGAAUCUGUCAUACUAAAGAAUAGUACUUGACUAGAUAGAGACUGCCUACUUUUUUCCCAUACCAUCAAUGAAGGAUAAUUAACUUACUUGUAUAGUAUAUGUUAUAAAUCUAUCUCAGUGUAUAGGUUAAUUCAUGUAAUGAUGAACUAUCUAUUUCUAGUUCCACUCCUAAAAUUAGGAAUUGAAUUUAUAAUUAGACCAAUGGACAACUUUGUGGGAAUCUGUCUUUCUCUUUUAGCUGGGUUUUGACAGCUGGUGUUAUCAACAGACUCUAACUGUAGUCAUAUCCUAGAUCAUGCUGGUUCUGCUCAUUCAAGUUAGAUUGUAAGUAUCCUGUGCCAGGGAUCUUUCUGCACACUGGUGGUAGGAUAUAAGAUGGCAUCCUCUUCCUCCAAAUCAAAGUAGAACUCUCCAGACACAGCUUCUGUCCAAGAGCUUCAUUCCAGUCGUUAAAAGUCCCUCGCUUGUCCAGUAACAAUAUCCAGUUCAAACAGGGAAAGGAGGAGAAUAAAAACCCACCAGUAGUAAUUCAGAUGAGUUUGAGACUUUACUGGGACCUGAAGAAGCUGUCCCUUCUGGUUCCAUGUGCUCUUGUUGUGCUUUCCUUUAAUGGUUGUUAUUCUUGGUUGUACACUGUAAUCACCAGGGGAACUUUGAAAACUAUGGUUCUUUUUCAUACUGUAGCCCAUGGCCCUUGCCUGCACCUUUGUAAGACUCUGACUGAAUGGGUCUGGAAUGUGGCCUGAGCAUUGAAAUUUUAAGAAGACCCCAGAUGAUUCAAACAUAUGUUACAGAAUGACUAUUGCCUCAUUUUUUUUUUACAAUGAUUUUUCUUACAAUCUAGUAAGACCAGAUGUGAGCUCUUUCCCAGGGACCAGGACCACCAUCAUAAUUAGUUGCACACAGUGAAAAAUGAAAAUAUAAAGCCAAAGGACUAAAAAACUUAAAAAUUGUUAAGAAUUUCAAGACUCUGACAGAAGAAUAUUAAGCCAAGCAUGCAUUCAUGUCUUGCAAACAUGGGCUGUAUGCACAAGUCUCAUACCCAGUAAGCUAGACCCAUCUGAGAGCCAGUGUUAAUAGUCAAGGAUUUGCCCUGUUACAGGUCACUUUUCUCUUCCAUAAUUUCCUGUCUCCCCAUUUGGUAUGCUUAUUCUUCUUGCUAAUUAUUAUGAUUGCAUUUUCUAUCCCCCCUACCCUGCUUUGGUGAGUAAAGGUAGUAUUAAGAGCAACUUGAGUUAUGGUAGAAUCUUCUCUCUCUUUUCUUGACUAUCUUUUUUUUUUUUAAAAUGACCUUGUCCUAUUUAUUUGGUUAUUGCUGAGAAAAUUUUUAUGAUGAUGUCGGAAAAGUAUAUUUUAGAUUUUAUUUCAAUAGGUUUUGGAGAAAAGCAAUUCUUGUAUAUGGCUUGACUAUAACAUUUCUACUCAGAAGACAUUUCACAAUUCUCAUUUUCACUAUUUUUAUAUUUCUUAUAUUUAAGUAAUGAAAUAAAUUUGAAAUGAAAAUUAGAACCAGAACAAAGAGAGUCAGGACGGAUCCUACAGCCAGUAUUGUACAAGAAAUGUGAUUCUUAAAACAAACCGCACUUUUUGGGCUAAAGAAAAAUGUAACUUAAUAUUUAACUAAUGAACACUUAAAAAUAUAUGUAUCUAGUCCGACUUGACUUUCUGGAUUUAUUUCUUUCUGCCAUUCAUGCCUUUUAAUUAUAGCUCCUUCUUCUACCAGAAAUUCUAAAAACUAUAAAAAAGAUACUCCACGAUAUUUGUUUCUGGAAAUAGAUUCAAGAAUCAUAGAAACAUAAUCCAUAAUAAUCGUCACAUACUUCAAGAUGAAAGCACACUUGACACUUGGUCCAGGAUUGCAACUGUAUUUCAGGACCCAGCAUUCCCUUUCCCUCAGGAAAGAUGGAGCUGUCAGCAGGGCUGGCAGGCCCCUGCAUCUCACACUCAGCUGACCUUGUGGUGUGCAGUGGAUUUACAACACAGUGAGUGAGGAAGGAGCCAACAUCACUAUGAUAUAGUGCAUGUCAAAUAAAGUGGGAGAAAUGCUGCUCAGUCAGGAUCUCAGGGAGACUUUAAUCCUCACUAGACCAGAGCUGAAGUUUAUGACAAGCAGAUGUGAAAUCCCCACUGGGAAUUCAGCUGCCAAGGGCUCAAUAAAAACAAACUGAAAAGGAAAAUGAAGCCCACUGAUAUGAAAUGUAAUAGGGAUCCUAACGGGUUAAUGUGAUUCUUGUUGUUCUAGAACAAUUCCAUUAUUGGUAUAAUUUGCUGUAAUACUUCCUUCCUCUUUUUUGACAUCUUCUUCCAAUGAUCUAAAGUGAAGUUCAAGUGAAAAUCCUUGAGGGAAAUUUUCCCUAAUGAUAUUAACAUCAUUUUUUUCUUUUUUCUUUUUUUUCCCCACUUAUUAUUAAUUCACAAUUUAUGUAUAUUUAAAUAUAUGCACACACACUAUAUUCUUUCU